RNAcentral lists this ribosomal RNA (492 nucleotides) under uncultured bacterium. RNAcentral describes it as "partial 16S ribosomal RNA". It matches the Rfam family "Bacterial small subunit ribosomal RNA", at positions 29 to 507 of the family's 1533-position model. The record is from RNAcentral.
AGUGAACGCUGGCGGCGGGCCUAAUACAUGCAAGUCGAACGGCCGCACAGUAAGAGUUCGUUUUUACGGUUGGCGAGUGACGGACGGGUGAGAAAUGCAUCGGAUACCUCUAAUACGUGGGUAACUACGUUGGGCCACUGCCAAUACCACCUAAUAUUUCCUACGGGAGGAUGCAAGAGAGAAUCACACUUUUCGUGUUAGUGAGAGACGAUGUCGCAUUAGCUAGUUGGCGAGGUAAAGUCACACCAAGGCGACGAAACGUAGCUGGUCUGAGAGGAUGAUCCGCCACACUGGAACUGAGACACGGUCCAGACUCCUACGGAAGGCAGCAGUGGGGAAUAUUGCACAAUGGGCGAAAGCCUGAUCGAGCAAUACCGCGUGAGUGAUGAAGGUCUUCGGGUUGUAAAACUCUUUUAUUAGGGAAGAACAUCUGCAUAUGAAACCCUGCAUAUUCUGACGGUACCCAAAGAGAAAGCCCCGGCUAACUUCGUG